RNAcentral lists this long non-coding RNA (207 nucleotides) under Mytilus galloprovincialis (Mediterranean mussel). Lineage: Eukaryota; Metazoa; Mollusca; Bivalvia; Mytilida; Mytilidae. The record is from RNAcentral.
UUCUUACCUGUUUCCCAAACAAUUCUUUCUUUUACGAAAGCGUUGUGCCAAUUGUUCUCCUCAUCAACAUCUUUUUUUGAAUGUAUGCAGAUAUCCGUUGAUGGGGUGUACGUUGGUAGAUAGUUGUUUUGUUCUAGAAACACUUUUGUUGUGCUUGUACCACAUUUAAACGUAUUUGAUAACAUUGUUUGGUUACAACAUUUUUCG